RNA transcript from Cervus elaphus (red deer), 1224 nucleotides. It is a transcript of the gene named colorectal cancer associated 2, with no coding region annotated. Lineage: Eukaryota; Metazoa; Chordata; Mammalia; Artiodactyla; Cervidae. The record is from RefSeq and is a predicted model, not a curated record. The transcript has 3 exons.
UAGAGGCUCGCGAAGAGCCCGGGACGCGCGCCGGCCGCUCAGAGCCGGGCCGCGGCGGUUCCCGCGCGGACCCCGGGCCGCACUCGCUGCCCGUGGGGCCGCCGACCCGGCGAGGAAGUCUCCAGGAGACGGUGGAUGGCGGCGAGGGUGCGGCGCCCAGGCCCUGCGGGCCAGCUGCGGGAUCCCCUGGGUCUGGGCGACGAACUGCGCGACCUCCUUUCGCGGGGGGAGAGGUCUAGCUCCCGGGACCCGGCCCCGGGGGCUCCCACCAGUCCUGCGGCGGUCUCCGCUGUGGCCAGGCGAGGCGCUGGCGGCCCGACACGGUCGCGGGCGCCCGGGCCGAUCGCGCGGCCCGCCCCCUCCCCGCGCGGCUCUCCCGCGCUCGCGCACUCCCGGGUCGAGGUCAGGGCCGGAGUCGCGCCCGCACUCCCGCGGCCACCUCAGCCCGCGAACGCUCGCCCGGCCCGACCUACUCACCGCGGCUCCGCGCCCUCCCCCACCACCACCCGCCACUCGGGGCCGCGGCUGCCCCGAGCUCCCGGCGCGCCGGACGCCCUGCCCGCCGACCCCUCGGGCGCCCGGCCUGUCCCGGGAGCCCGGCAGCCCGGGGCGGCCCCUUCUGGAGGGCGGCUUCCCAGCCGAGCGCGCGCGGUCCUGGGCCGCCCCGCACGCCUCCCCAGGGCUCGCGCCGCGCGGACUCGACUUGGAGUCUUCGGGCGCCGCCGGGAAAUGCCAGCCCCAGAAAGGGAGGGGGUGGGGAGAGACGGGGAAAGGGGCGAGCAGGAGCGGGGCCUAAGGAGGGAGGCGGGAAAGAGGCGAAGGCGCAGAAAAGGGGCGAGGAGAGAGGAGGCAGGAGAAAAAGACGGGAGGGAGGGGGCAGUUCUCACGCCUGGACCCUUUACUGGGCUCAGCCUAGUGAGCCCCUCACCGAUCCAAGGACCAGGGUCGGCCAAACCCCACCCGCCCGCUGCUUGCCCCAGGGCUGGCUUCCAGACCAGGGGCACACUGAGGUUAGAGGCUCCCCAGAAGCCACGACUGGUCCCGUGGAAAAGAGUGGGGUGGGCUAGAAAAACCUAAGGUGUAUCAAGGUGUCCGGGUGAAGAUCACAGUGAAGGAGCUGCUGCAGCAGAGACGGGCACAUCAGGCAGCCUCAGGGGGAACCCAGUCCGGAGGCAACAGUGUCCACCUUUCAGACCCAGUCCCACCAUCUUCUGCAGGUCAGUA